UAAUAACAAUCAGAAUAAAUUAAAACAAGAUUUCCCUUUUAUCAGGGUAUUCUUAUUAAUACGGAUACUAACACGACCCAAAUAAGGAAAGAAAAAUCAAUCUGUGAGCAGAGUGACAAUUACCAUAAAAAGAAAUAGUAAAAUCAUACAGUAGGAAAUUAAGUCUAAUUAAGGGCUUAUAACUACUUUUGGAAAGGUUUAGUAAGGCCAAAAAAUGAAGGAGAAUCAAUUAACCCUUGACAGGCGAGUGAAGAAGAAUCAGAAUCUCACAAAAGGAAAAGUUUUGAAAUCAAUUACAAGUUUGAAAAUCAACCUCAGAAGAGACUCAAUAUAUAAAUGAGUAUACAAGCAGCAGACAUGUGAGGCCAAACUAUGGCAAAGGAAACAACAUACAGUAGAGCAAACAUUCGAAACAUACUAGUCAUGUAAGUCAGAUUUCAGAGAAAAAGGAUCAAAAGCAUGCAAGGAGUUGAGUAAGCCAUAGUCGAGUAUGGCAAGUAGCAAGUACUCAGAACUAAAGGAUUAUAUGCUGAAGUAAAGGAAUCAGACUGAGCAAUUUCAAUCAGACAAAGAAUUUCAGGAAUUCAAAUAGACCCCUAACGGACUAGGGCUUUCAAAAUAAAUCAAUUAGGUUUAGAGACGAUAAGAAGAUAAACACAUAAAUAGUCUCAGAAUAUCAAAUAAACACUACAAGUUAGGGUUUUCACCACUUAAGAAGUAAAUCAAACAAACAAUAGCAUGUAGACUUAGAAACUAAAAGAAAUCAUAAAAAUUACGGUUUUCGAUCACCAAUUAAACACAAGUAUGAUAAGAUGAUGAAUCAAAUGAAGCAUUAAAUGACAGGCUCAGAAACACUAAUUUAAAACCAAAGGGUUUUGGAAAGGAAAUUUGGGAAAAAUGCGUUAAACAUCACAUACAACAUAGAUCUAGCACAGAUCUUAAACAAAUAAACAAAAAAGAACCUUGGAUAGUCUAGGGUUUCUGAGAACCCUAAAAGAUGAGAAAGGCUUGGAAGAUACAAGAUCAUAGCUGAGUCGAUAAGGUCAGAACCAGGAUCAGGAGGCUAAGAAAUGCCGGAGCACGACCAGAAAUGGUUGAAAAACCUUGAAUCAAUAAAGGUCUAGGUGAAGAACCUCGAAGACUGGCCUCGAAUCAUCAGGAAUCAGUCAUGGGAGAGCAGUAAGAGGUGAGUAUAUGUCAUCCACGACAAGUGCGGCCAUGGAUUCCGGUGGGUUUGGGGGUUGAAAAGGGUAGGUGGCGAUUAGGGUUUUGAGAGCGUUUGAGAGAAGAGAGGAAUCAGAG
RNAcentral lists this long non-coding RNA (1302 nucleotides) under Nicotiana benthamiana. RNAcentral describes it as "long non-coding RNA (NBEN_LNC037894)". The record is from RNAcentral. Lineage: Eukaryota; Viridiplantae; Streptophyta; Magnoliopsida; Solanales; Solanaceae.